CGACUGUGCCUUUCAGGCAUCCUCUCCUAAAAACUUUCAGGGUCGGCUUCGCCGGCCCUUUUUUUUGUGCGCG
RNAcentral lists this small RNA (73 nucleotides) under Sphingomonas sp. Leaf42. RNAcentral's name for it is "Makes More Granules Regulator RNA (mmgR)". It matches the Rfam family "Makes More Granules Regulator RNA (mmgR)". Rfam says of the family: SuhB later renamed mmgR (makes more granules regulator) was a putative non-coding RNA found multiple times in the Agrobacterium tumefaciens genome and related alpha-proteobacteria. Other non-coding RNAs uncovered in the same analysis include: speF, ybhL, metA, and serC. Several studies inSinorhizobium meliloti showed that suhB element is indeed a non-coding RNA:firstly it was detected on Northern blot and called Sm8RNA, secondly in an RNAseq study referred to as SmelC689. Lineage: Bacteria; Pseudomonadati; Pseudomonadota; Alphaproteobacteria; Sphingomonadales; Sphingomonadaceae. The record is from Rfam by way of RNAcentral.